ACAAACUUGGUCAUUUAGAGGAAGUAAAAGUCGUAACAAGGUUUCCGUAGGUGAACCUGCGGAAGGAUCAUUACUGAGUUAGGGUCCCUCGGGGCCCGACCUCCCAACCCAGUGUCUAUUCAUACCUUACGUUGCUUCGGCGGACCGGUCUUACGACCGCCGGAGGAGGGUAUCCCCUUCCUUUGGAGAGCGUCCGCCGAUGGCCUCAUUUUAAACUCUUGGAAAAAUCAUUGUCAUCUGAAUCUUUGAUAUAAUCAAAAACAAAACUUUCAACAACGGAUCUCUUGGUUCUGGCAUCGAUGAAGAACGCAGC
Molecule: unclassified non-coding RNA, 313 nt
Filed under: uncultured fungus
Lineage: Eukaryota; Fungi
Description: partial contains small subunit ribosomal RNA, internal transcribed spacer 1, and 5.8S ribosomal RNA
Rfam family: Eukaryotic small subunit ribosomal RNA (bases 1-73)
Source: RNAcentral